CGUGCCUAAUACAUGCAAGUCGAGCGAACGGACGAGAAGCUUGCUUCUCUGAUGUUAGCGGCGGACGGGUGAGUAACACGUGGAUAACCUACCUAUAAGACCGGGAUAACUUCGGGAAACCGGAGCUAAUACCGGAUAAUAUUUUGAACCGCAUGGUUCAAAAGUGAAAGACGGUCUUGCUGUCACUUAUAGAUGGAUCCGCGCUGCAUUAGCUAGUUGGUAAGGUAACGGCUUACCAAGGCAACGAUGCAUAGCCGACCUGAGAGGGUGAUCGGCCACACUGGAACUGAGACACGGUCCAGACUCCUACGGGAGGCAGCAGUAGGGAAUCUUCCGCAAUGGGCGUAAGCCUGACAGAGCAACGCCGCGUGAGUGAUGAAGGUCUUCGGAUCGUAAAACUCUGUUAUUAGGGAAGAACAUAUGUGUAAGUAACUGUGCACAUCUUGACGGUACCUAAUCAGAAAGCCACGGCUAACUACGUGCCAGCAGCCGCGGUAAUACGUAGGUGGCAAGCGUUAUCCGGAAUUAUUGGGCGUAAAGCGCGCGUAGGCGGUUUUUUAAGCCUGAUGUGAAAGCCCACGGCUCAACCGUGGAGGGUCAUUGGAAACUGGAAAACUUGAGUGCAGAAGAGGAAAGUGGAAUUCCAUGUGUAGCGGUGAAAUGCGCAGAGAUAUGGAGGAACACCAGUGGCGAAGGCGACUUUCUGGUCUGUAACUGACGCUGAUGUGCGAAAGCGUGGGGAUCAAACAGGAUUAGAUACCCUGGUAGUCCACGCCGUAAACGAUGAGUGCUAAGUGUUUAGGGGGUUUCCGCCCCUUAGUGCUGCAGCUAACGCAUUAAGCACUCCGCCUGGGGAGUACGACCGCAAGGUUGAAACUCAAAGGAAUUGACGGGGACCCGCACAAGCGGUGGAGCAUGUGGUUUAAUUCGAAGCAACGCGAAGAACCUUACCAAAUCUUGACAUCCUUUGACACUCUAGAGAUAGAGCCU
Molecule: ribosomal RNA, 990 nt
Filed under: uncultured Staphylococcus sp.
Lineage: Bacteria; Bacillati; Bacillota; Bacilli; Caryophanales; Staphylococcaceae
Description: bacterial SSU rRNA
Rfam family: Bacterial small subunit ribosomal RNA
Source: RNAcentral